CUACCUAACGCGUUACUCCGAAAGCCACGGCUCAAGGCCACAACCUCCAAGUUAGACAUCGUUUACGGCGUGGACUACCAGGGUAUCUAAUCCUGUUUGCUCCCCACGCUUUCGCAUCUGAGCGUCAGUCUUUGUCCAGGGGGCCGCCUNCYCCACCGGUAUUCCUUCAGAUCUCUACGCAUUUCACCGCUACACCUGAAAUUCUACCCCCCUCUACAAGACUCUAGUUAGCCAGUUCGAAAUGCUGUUCCGAGGUUGAGCCCCGGGCUUUCACAUCUCGCUUAACUAACCGCCUGCNUGCGCUUUACGCCCAGUAAUUCCGAUUAACGCUCGCACCCUCCGUAUUACCGCGGCUGCUGGCACGGAGUUAGCCGGUGCUUCUUCUGUCGCUAACGUCAAAAUGCGCACUAUUAACUACACACCCUUCCUCACGACUGAAAGUACUUUACAACCCGAAGCCUUCUUCAUACACGCGGCAUGGCUGCAUCAGGGUUUCCCCAUUGUGCAAUAUUCCCCACUGCUGCCUCCCGUAG
This 533-nucleotide ribosomal RNA is filed under the name Photobacterium sp. N50IX. RNAcentral's name for it is "partial 16S ribosomal RNA". Lineage: Bacteria; Pseudomonadati; Pseudomonadota; Gammaproteobacteria; Vibrionales; Vibrionaceae. The record is from RNAcentral.